AAGUAUAGACUGAGUAUGUU
This 20-nucleotide small nuclear RNA is filed under the name Arabidopsis thaliana (thale cress). RNAcentral describes it as "snRNA_10137". Lineage: Eukaryota; Viridiplantae; Streptophyta; Magnoliopsida; Brassicales; Brassicaceae. The record is from RNAcentral.